AUUGAACGCUGGCGGCAUGCUUUACACAUGCAAGUCGAACGGUAACAGGCCUUCGGGUGCUGACGAGUGGCGAACGGGUGAGUAAUGCAUCGGAACGUACCCAGGGGUGGGGGAUAACGCAGCGAAAGCUGUGCUAAUACCGCAUGUGAUCUGAGGAUGAAAGCGGGGGACCGAGCAGCAAUGUUUGGCCUCGCGCCUUUGGAGCGGCCGAUGUCGGAUUAGCUAGUUGGUGGGGUAAAGGCCUACCAAGGCGACGAUCCGUAGCUGGUCUGAGAGGACGACCAGCCACACUGGGACUGAGACACGGCCCAGACUCCUGCGGGAGGCAGCAGUGGGGAAUUUUGGACAAUGGGCGCAAGCCUGAUCCAGCAAUGCCGAGUGCGGGAAGAAGGCCUUCGGGUUGUAAACCGCUUUUGGCAGGAACGAAACGGUGUCCGCUAAUACCGGGCGCUAAUGACGGUACCUGCAGAAUAAGCACCGGCUAACUACGUG
RNAcentral lists this ribosomal RNA (492 nucleotides) under uncultured bacterium. Its description in RNAcentral is "partial 16S ribosomal RNA". It matches the Rfam family "Bacterial small subunit ribosomal RNA", at positions 29 to 507 of the family's 1533-position model. The record is from RNAcentral.